Molecule: ribosomal RNA, 301 nt
Filed under: uncultured bacterium
Lineage: Bacteria
Description: partial 16S ribosomal RNA
Rfam family: Bacterial small subunit ribosomal RNA
Source: RNAcentral
CAGUAGCCGCGGGAAUACAGAGGGUGCAAGCGUUAAUCGGAAUUACUGGGCGUAAAGUGCGCGUAGGUGGUUUGUUAAGUUGGAUGUGAAAUCCCCGGGCUCAACCUGGGAACUGCAUCCAAAACUGGCAAGCUAGAGUAUGGUAGAGGGUGGUGGAAUUUCCUGUGUAGCGGUGAAAUGCGUAGAUAUAGGAAGGAACACCAGUGGCGAAGGCGACCACCUGGACUGAUACUGACACUGAGGUGCGAAAGCGUGGGGAGCAAACAGGAUUAGAUACCCCCGUAGUCCCUGUCUCUUAUAA